GAUGAACGCUGGCGGCGUGCCUAAUACAUGCAAGUAGAACGCUGAAGCUUGGUGCUUGCACCGAGCGGAUGAGUUGCGAACGGGUGAGUAACGCGUAGGUAACCUGCCUCUUAGCGGGGGAUAACUAUUGGAAACGAUAGCUAAUACCGCAUAAAAGUCGAUAUCGCAUGAUAUUGAUUUGAAAGGUGCAAAUGCAUCACUAAGAGAUGGACCUGCGUUGUAUUAGCUAGUUGGUGAGGUAACGGCUCACCAAGGCGACGAUACAUAGCCGACCUGAGAGGGUGAUCGGCCACACUGGGACUGAGACACGGCCCAGACUCCUACGGGAGGCAGCAGUAGGGAAUCUUCGGCAAUGGGGGCAACCCUGACCGAGCAACGCCGCGUGAGUGAAGAAGGGUUUCGGAUCGUAAAGCUCUGUUGUAAGAGAAGAACGAGUGUGAGAGUGGAAAGUUCACACUGUGACGGUAACUGACCAGAAAGGGACGGCUAACUACGUG
This 497-nucleotide ribosomal RNA is filed under the name uncultured bacterium. RNAcentral describes it as "partial 16S ribosomal RNA". It matches the Rfam family "Bacterial small subunit ribosomal RNA", at positions 28 to 507 of the family's 1533-position model. The record is from RNAcentral.